AGACGGGUGAGGAACACGUACGCAACCUCCCUUUAACUGGGGCACAACCUUGAGAAAUCAGGGCUAAUUCCCCAUAACAUUGCGAAAGGGCAUCCAAUUGCAAUUAAAGAUUCGUCGGUUAGAGAUGGGCGUGCGUUCGAUUAGCUAGUUGGUAAGGUAACGGCUUACCAAGGCAACGAUCGAUAGCUGGUGUGAGAGCACGACCAGCCACACGGGCACUGAGAUACGGGCCCGACUCCUACGGGAGGCAGCAGUAAGGAAUAUUGGUCAAUGGGCGAAAGCCUGAACCAGCCAUGCCGCGUGAAGGAUGAAGGUCCUCUGGAUUGUAAACUUCUUUUAUCUAUGAAUAAACGCCCGAUUUCUAUUGGGUUUGAAGGUAAUAGAUGAAUAAGCACCGGCUAACUCCGUGCCAGCAGCCGCGGUAAUACGGAGGGUGCAAGCGUUAUCCGGAUUCACUGGGUUUAAAGGGUGCGUAGGUUGAUAGGUAAGUCAGUGGUGAAAUACUCCGACUCAAUCGGAGAACUGCCGUUGAUACUAUCUAUCUUGAAUACGGUGGAGGCGGGCGGAAUGCGUCAUGUAGUGGUGAAAUACUUAGAUAUGACGCAGAACACCCAUUGCGAAAGCAGCUCGCUACACCGGCAUUGACACUGAGGCACG
This 657-nucleotide ribosomal RNA is filed under the name uncultured Bacteroidota bacterium. RNAcentral describes it as "bacterial SSU rRNA". It matches the Rfam family "Bacterial small subunit ribosomal RNA", at positions 100 to 755 of the family's 1533-position model. Lineage: Bacteria; Pseudomonadati; Bacteroidota. The record is from RNAcentral.